GAAGAUGCUUCAUAAUAUUUCAAUACUUUUGAAUGUUUAAGACUUGUUUUAUAACCUAACAUAUGAUUUAAUCUUGAGAAUAAUCCAUGUGCUGAAGAAAAGAAUGUGUAUUCUGCAACCAUUAGAGGGUAUGUUCUGUAAAUAUCUAUUAGGUCCAUUUGGACUAUAGUUAUUAAAUCUGAUGUUUCUUUGUUGAUUUUCCAUCUGGAAGAUCUGUCCAUUUAUGAAAGUGGGUUGUUGAAGUUUCCAACUAUUAUUGUAUUGGAAUCUAUGUCUCUUUUUGGCUGUUCAGUGUUUGGUGCAUAUAUACUUAAAAUUGUUAUAUCUCCUUCCUGAAUUGACUCUUUUAUCACUAUAUAAUGUUCACAUAAAAUUACCUAAAAAUUAACAAAGAAGUGAGAGAUCUCUAUAAUGAAAACUAUAAAACACUGAUAAAGAAAAUUGAAGAGGACACCAAAAAAUAGAAAAAUAUUCCAUGUUUAUGGAUUGGAAAAAUUAGUAUUUUUAAAAUCUUCAUACUCCCUAAAGCAAUCUACAGAUUCAAUGCAAUGUCUAUGAAAAUACCAAUGGCAUUAUUUACAUAAAUAGAAAAACAAUCCUAAAACUUACAUAGAAUCACACAAGACCCAGAAGAGCCAAAGCUAUCCUAAGCAAAAAAGAAGAAAACUGGAGUAAUCACAUUACCUGAC
RNAcentral lists this long non-coding RNA (689 nucleotides) under Homo sapiens (human). RNAcentral describes it as "non-protein coding lnc-ASB3-9:1". The record is from RNAcentral. Lineage: Eukaryota; Metazoa; Chordata; Mammalia; Primates; Hominidae.